RNAcentral lists this ribosomal RNA (781 nucleotides) under uncultured Bacteroidota bacterium. Its description in RNAcentral is "bacterial SSU rRNA". It matches the Rfam family "Bacterial small subunit ribosomal RNA", at positions 65 to 848 of the family's 1533-position model. The record is from RNAcentral. Lineage: Bacteria; Pseudomonadati; Bacteroidota.
AGGGGUAGAGGUUGCUUGCAACCUUGAGACCGGCGCACGGGUGCGUAACGCGUAUGCAACCUACCUUCAUCUGGGGGAUAGCCCGGAGAAAUCCGGAUUAAUACCGCAUAAAAUCACAGUACGGCAUCGUACAAUGAUCAAACAUUUAUGGGAUGGAGAUGGGCAUGCGUGUCAUUAGUUAGUUGGCGGGGUAACGGCCCACCAAGACCGCGAUGACUAGGGGAUCUGAGAGGAUGACCCCCCACACUGGUACUGAGACACGGACCAGACUCCUACGGGAGGCAGCAGUAAGGAAUAUUGGUCAAUGGGGGCAACCCUGAACCAGCCAUGCCGCGUGCAGGAAGACGGCCCUCUGGGUUGUAAACUGCUUUUAUUCGGGAAUAAACCUACUUACGUGUAAGUAGCUGAAUGUACCGAAGGAAUAAGGAUCGGCUAACUCCGUGCCAGCAGCCGCGGUAAUACGGAGGAUCCAAGCGUUAUCCGGAUUUAUUGGGUUUAAAGGGUGCGUAGGCGGCCUGUUAAGUCAGGGGUGAAAGACGGUAGCUCAACUAUCGCAGUGCCCUUGAUACUGAUGGGCUUGAAUGGACUAGAGGUAGGCGGAAUGUGACAAGUAGCGGUGAAAUGCAUAGAUAUGUCACAGAACACCGAUUGCGAAGGCAGCUUACUAUGGUCAUAUUGACGCUGAGGCACGAAAGCGUGGGGAUCAAACAGGAUUAGAUACCCUGGUAGUCCACGCCCUAAACGAUGGAUACUCGCUGUUGGCGAUAUACAGUCAGCGGCU